This 79-nucleotide small nuclear RNA is filed under the name Homo sapiens (human). Its description in RNAcentral is "partial ncRNA". The record is from RNAcentral. Lineage: Eukaryota; Metazoa; Chordata; Mammalia; Primates; Hominidae.
AGAGAAUCGCUUGGACCCAGGAGGUGGAUGUUGCAGUGAGCAGAGAUCGCGUCACUGUACUCCAGCCUGGGCAACAGAG